Molecule: ribosomal RNA, 216 nt
Filed under: Campeiostachys nutans
Lineage: Eukaryota; Viridiplantae; Streptophyta; Magnoliopsida; Poales; Poaceae
Description: Elymus nutans partial small subunit ribosomal RNA
Rfam family: Eukaryotic small subunit ribosomal RNA (bases 40-216)
Source: RNAcentral
GGGUCAGUAGGUUGGUCAUGCCACUGGUAUGUACUGGUCUCACUGAUUCCUCCUUCCUGAUGAACUGUAAUGCCAUUAAUUUGGUGUUUUGGGGAAUUUGGACUGUUACUUUGAAAAAAUUAGAGUGUUUAAAGCAAGCUAACGCUUGAAUACAUUAGCAUGGAAUAAUGAAAUAGGACGUUCGAUCCUAUUUUGUUGGUUUUUAGGAUCAACGUA